GAGGGCAUCGGAUCCCAUUACAGAUGGUUGUGAGACACCUUGGGGUUGCUGGGAAUUGAACUCAGGACCUCUGGAAGAGCAGUCACUGCUCUCAAUUGCUGAGCCAUCUCUCGAGCUGUUUAAUUCCUUCUUUAGAGCUUUUUUAUGAUUUCAUUUAUGAUUCAAUGAGCUGAUGACAUUUCAUAACAGUCUUUAGGACUGUGAUGGGCAUGUAAAUGGUAAACACUAUAUAAGAAUAAUCUUGUGUGCUCUAACCCUCACAUUUGGGAAACUGAGGCAGGAGGACUGCUUCAAGUUAGAGGUCAGCAAAGUAAUACUCUUUAGAAAGAAAGAAACAGGGAGUGUGCUGGCACAUCCUGUACUACCAGCAGUGGGAAUGCUGAGGCAGGAGGAUUGGAGUUCAAGACCAGAUAGUGCUACACAAUGAGUCCCUGAGUGGGAAAAGAACGAAAGAAAUACAGGGGAUGGCAGCGCACUCUUUUAGAGGCUGAGGCAGGAUGAGUGUGGAGUUUGAGGACGGCUAGGUCAGUCUGGACUACAUAGUGAAACUUUGUUUGGAACAUCAAUGAUAAUAAUGAAGGAAGGAGUCAUCUCCAGCCCAGUAGGGGUGCGCACCUCUAAUCACAGCACUCAGGCUGGUGGAAGAGGCAGGGCAAUCUUUGAGUUUCAGGGCAGCCUUGUAUACAGAGUAAGUUCCAGGACAGACAGGGCUACACAGAGAAACCCUGUCUCAAAAGAAAAAAAUCAUGUUGGGCUAGGCUGGCUAGCAUGCAGGAUGUCCUGAGUUCUAUCCACAGCACUGUAGACUUUAAAGAUUUAUUUAUUUUAUUUAUAGAUGGUUGCAAGCCACCAUGUGGUUGCUGGGAUUUGAACUCAGGACCUCUGGAAGAGCAGUCAGUGCUCUUAACCACUGAGCCAUCUCUCCAGCCCAGCACUGUAGACUUUAAAAAAAAAA
RNAcentral lists this long non-coding RNA (955 nucleotides) under Rattus norvegicus (Norway rat). RNAcentral's name for it is "long non-coding RNA NONRATT002429". Lineage: Eukaryota; Metazoa; Chordata; Mammalia; Rodentia; Muridae. The record is from RNAcentral.